Molecule: long non-coding RNA, 1152 nt
Filed under: Cyanistes caeruleus (blue tit)
Lineage: Eukaryota; Metazoa; Chordata; Aves; Passeriformes; Paridae
Description: lncRNA (ENSCCEG00000001946.1)
Source: RNAcentral
GAAGAAAUUUGGGAAUUUUUGGGUCAUUUGGUGGAAAUUUGGGGGAAAUUCGGGGGUUUUGAGGAAAAAUUGGGAAUUUUGGGGAAAAUUCAGGAGAAUUCGGGAUUUUUUGGGGAAUUUUGGGGAAAUUUGGGAAUUUUGGGGGGAAAUUGGGGGAAAUUUCGGAAUUUUGGGAGAAUUUCGGGUUUUUUUAAGGAAAUUUGGGGGAAAAUUGAGGUUUUAGGGGGGAAAUUUGGGAAUUUUGGGGGAAAUCGGAAUUUUUUAGAGGAAAUUUGGGAAUUUUUGGAGAAUUUGGGGAAAAUUUGGGAAUUUUGGGGUCGUUUUAAGGGGAUUUGGGGAGAAAAUUGGGAUUUUUUGUGGAAAUUCAGAGAAAAAUGGGAAAAUCUUGGUUUGCAGAGAGAAAAAUUUGGGAUUUUGGGGAGAUUUUGGGGAAUUCUGGAUCAUUUUGGGCAUCUUUUGAUUAAAAAAUGGGAAUUUCAGCCAGAAAACUCGGGAAUUUUGGUGAUUUGGGAGAGAUUUGGGAUAAAAAUUGGGAUUUUGGGGGGAAAUUCGGGGAUAUUGGGGGGAAAAUUGGAAUUUUUGAGGGAUUUUGGGGAAAAAAUUGGGAUUUUUCCGGGGAAAUUUGGGAAUUUUGGGAUAAUUCGAGUAAAUUUGGGAAUUUUGGGUGGAAUUUCGUGGAAAAAUUGGGAUUUUUUUCAUGGAUUUUGGGGGAAAUUUGGGAUUUUUUUGAGGGAUUUUGGAGGAAAAUUUGGGAUUUUUGAGAAAAAAUUUGGGAUUUUGGGGGAAUUUUGGGAUAAUUCGGGAAAAUUUGGGAGGGAUUUGGGCAAAAUUUUGGAAUUUUGGGAAAAAAUUCCGGAUUUUUCGCCAUUUUUUCCUCCUUUUUUGGUCACUUCCGGUUUUGCUCCCUUUGGCCCCGCCCCCUUUCAGCUCUCAGCCAAUCCCUGCUCGAGCUGCUGCGGGAAAUGGGCGUGGCCGACCCUCAGCGCUUCCGGGUGGGCGUGGCCUCGCUGGACCCCGCCCACGCCGCCAUCUUGGUUCAGCUAUUGGAUGACGUCAUCGGCGACCAAUAAAAACGCGGGAAGGGAAAAGGGGGCGUGGUUUAUUCCGGAAGUGGGCGGGGCUUGGGGAAUUCCAGCGGAUUUUAGGGGGGAA